Molecule: long non-coding RNA, 1317 nt
Organism: Anastrepha obliqua
Lineage: Eukaryota; Metazoa; Arthropoda; Insecta; Diptera; Tephritidae
Exons: 3
Source: RefSeq, a predicted model, not a curated record
GAAAAAAUGCUUUCAUUACGAUAAAAACUAACAUAUCUUCACCCUUCAGCGACUAUGCUCAUGCAUAGAGUUUUCUUAAUACGAAGUCUAUAAAAUCUAUAGCUUCAAGAUAUUUCGGCUCAUUUUUAACGUAAAGUCAUUUGAUGAACGAAUUUUUGGUUUGGAACUGAACGAUCAUUGAAGAUGCUGUCCUGACUCUUCGCCAAACAACAGUCAAGAGUGGGUAGUCAAAUGCAGGCUGGCUAUUACUAAUGGCCGCGGCGUCGAUGGUGGUGUUCGUGAUACUGUUAGAUAACAGUGAAGGAAGUGAUGGCACAGCCGCUAUUAAAGUCAAACGGAAUAAAGUCGAUAUUGCUGGCUAUGGUGAUUGUAGUGGUAGUGACAGUGGUGACGGCCACACGCACCAUUUAUCAUAAAAUACACAUUUGAAGCGUUUAUCUUUUUCUUUUCUCCUUUGAAAGGGAGGAUGCGAACGACGCACUUUAUCCUGUAUAACCAUAUUGCGUGCAUGCAUAUGACAUACCUACAUAUCAAGUAGAAAAAUCCUCCCGCGUGGGUAAACAUGCAACAUACGAAUAUUUUCGUACAUGUGUUGUAUUUGCCGUGAGGUUGAGACGCUGAGUGGGCGCAGACGAGCGCUAAGGAUAUGCGGGCAUAAAAGCAUACAUACAGAUACACAUGCAGCAUAUUUUAAACAAAUAGUAUAGCUUGUUAUUACGCACUAACGGGGUUGUGCGAAAGCGUGGGUUAAAAAUUAUGGAGCUGUAAUAAAUUGGAUUAGUUCAAGUUGACGCCAUUUUGACGAUGCAGCCGUUGGCUGGAAAAAAACUGUGUGGCUGUGGAAGGAGAAAGAAAAGCAAAGGAUUCGUUAUGCAUAUUGAUUUACUUAUAGAACUUACAUACAUAUAUAUGUAUAUGAAGGUAGUAAAUGGAAAAUAUAAAGAAGAAAUCUGAGAGAAUUCAUUCGGCAGAUAUUUUAGAUAUUUUAUAUUUUCGAACAAUUUACUGAACUUAGCAAGAAGCGUUUACUAACUUUAAGAUCCUUGGAAUAUAUUUCAAAUACAAAUCCGCUCCUCUACAACUUAAAAAAUAAAGCCCCAAAAUAUGUCUCGCCUGGAAUGACAUAAAUUACCUAAGCUUACAAACGAAGAUACGCCUCGACAAAGAAAAAACUGCUAAACCCUGUUAAAAAUUAUAAAAGUUGUUUUCAAACUGUAACAAAUCACAGAUGACUCAGCAGAUUGCAAUAGCGUUUUUUUCCAUAGAACUCUGAAAUGUUUACUAUCACUCUGCAUUAAAAAAUUCAUCAACUACGUU